GGGUUGUGAGGUUAAGCGAAUAAGCGUACACGGUGGAUGCCUAGGCAAUCAGAGGCGAUGAAGGACGUGCUAA
Molecule: ribosomal RNA, 73 nt
Filed under: Proteus mirabilis
Lineage: Bacteria; Pseudomonadati; Pseudomonadota; Gammaproteobacteria; Enterobacterales; Morganellaceae
Description: partial 23S ribosomal RNA
Source: RNAcentral